This 555-nucleotide long non-coding RNA is filed under the name Homo sapiens (human). RNAcentral's name for it is "non-protein coding lnc-CCDC114-2:3". Lineage: Eukaryota; Metazoa; Chordata; Mammalia; Primates; Hominidae. The record is from RNAcentral.
AGAGCAGCCUGGCAGUGUCCAAGCAACAAGCCUCCGCUCCUCCUUCCUGCACCCUGGGGCUCCUGAAACUCACAUGAGAAGGAGGGCUGUCUGAGAUUCGAGGGAAACAAGCUCUCAGGACUUCCGGUCGCCAUGAUGGCUGUGGGCGGUAAACGCGGUUAGUGCAAGCAUCUGGGCCAUCUUCAAUGGUAAAAAAGAUACAGUAAAGACAUAAAUACCACAUUUGACAAAUGGAAAAAAAGGAGUGUCCAGAAAAGAGUAGCAGCAGUGAGGAAGAGCUGCCGAGACGGGUAUACAGGGAGCUACCCUGUGUUUCUGAGACCCUUUGUGACAUCUCACAUUUUUUCCAAGAAGAUGAUGAGACAGAGGCAGAGCCAUUAUUGUUCCGUGCUGUUCCUGAGUGUCAACUAUCUGGGGGGGACAUUCCCAGGUAAGAAAAGCUAUUCCGUUGGAAAACUAUUGGACGCUGUGUCUCAAUAUCACAGAGGAACAUGAGAAUUAGAGGAAUUUGGGUGUUUUUCAUCGAACUCAGGGGAGAAUGAAUGAGCUUAUGCA